Hordeum vulgare subsp. vulgare (domesticated barley) is the source of this 1537-nucleotide long non-coding RNA. RefSeq lists it as uncharacterized. NCBI's taxonomy places the organism in Eukaryota, Viridiplantae, Streptophyta, Magnoliopsida, Poales, Poaceae. The record is from RefSeq and is a predicted model, not a curated record. The transcript is spliced from 5 exons.
AACUCACAUGUUACGAUCUAUUGUCUAUUUCAGCUUUAUUAAAUAUUGAAAUUCCUAGUUUCAUACUAACUUUGAUAGUCGAGAAAUUGGGAUAAGUGUUGUCAGUAGUUGUUAGUGAGCAUACUAACUUUGAUGAGGUAAAACGUGUUACAUCAUAACUUUCUCACUGUUUACUGUUGAAUGCUAGAAAACAUGGAUCAUAUAUACAUGGAUUAACUUGUCUUAGUUUCUUUAAUUGAUUUAAUUUGGUAAUUUCGUUUCAGCCAAUUCCUUCACCAUUAGCAGCUACACUCAUCCUUUUGCUAGUGUUUCACGUAAGAGUCAUCUGUAUUCAAGAGUGCCUUAAAAUCCACCGCGUCUUACAUUUAAGACGGCGAAUGGGGAAGCAUCCAAGAUAAUUUUCAGAAAGGGAGAUGAGUCAAAUGACCUCCGACAAGAUCAGCUGGGAAGGGAAUUCUUGGCCACUCAUCUCAUGACUUCAGUGCAAAAGCCGCCAGCUACUGAAUCCAACAACCAGAGUGUAAAUGGAAUGGUUAUUUCUGACCAUCCGACCGAUCAAAUUAAUUGCGAUCCAAUCUGGUGCUGUGCACUAUGUAGACUCUGUUUCUCGCACAAUAUCAAGAUGUUUUAUUUGUUUCCCAGGCUUUCUUUAUACAGUUUGGUUCACAUCCUAUUCACAUUCAUGUCUUGGGAACUCUUAGAAAUAUUAUAACAUGGGUGAUCUCUGCUCCGAUUUCCUGUGUUCAUCCGGUGGAGGCGGCUGAUCAAUAGCUAUUCUUCUGGUUGCUUAAAACUGAUGUAACUCAAUUUCUUGUUUGUACCCGCGAGGGCGAUCAUGGGCUCCACCUGCGCCCUAUUGCCGGCACUCGAUGCGGUGCCCCGGCCUCCCUAUAGAGGACCGGAAGCUUGUAGGAGCAGGAGCAGGAGCAUCUCUGACCCUUUCCUGACGAGCUGCAGGUCAUAGACGAUGUCCCAGCAGAGGUAUGCCCUCCCCUCCUUUCUUCCCCUUCCAAUCAAAUUCUUGUGCGAAAAGCAAUCUUGUGAGAAAAGGAAUCUUGAUCGAAAAUAGACCUGCUUAUUUAAUGCACUGCCACUUCAUCACAUUGAUUUCAACAUGGCUAGUUUGUCGUACCUUUACUGUUUUAGUAGUUCACUACUGAAAAAAACCACGGUUUUGGAAAAGAGUUGCGGAUUUUAAUAAGUUCAUUCAUUCGAAAGAAGUUUGCGGAUUUAAAAAUUAUUCAUAGAUUUGGAAAGGAGCUGUGAUUUAAAAAAAAGUUCAUGAAUUUGAAAAUAAUUUGAGGACAUACAAAAAAGUUCAUGAAUUUGAAAAUAACAAUCACGUAUUAAGAGAAGAAAAAGAAAAAGAAAACCAAGUGAAAGUUCAUGAACUUGAAAAUAAUAAUCAUGAAUUUACAGAAGAAAAAGAAAAAGAAAAUCAACUAAAAGCCGUUCUAAAAUAAACCACAGAAAAAACCGCACCGAAAUCCUGGGGAAACCUUCCAAAAACCAGCGGAAAAAAUUUCCACAUGGGCCG